AUAGAUGACAGUUGACAGAUGACAAAGUUGACAGAUGAUUGACAGACAAUGGUUGACAGAUGAUAUAAUUGAGAGAUGAUUGAUACUGGUAGAUAGAUGAUAGAUAGUUGAGAGGUGUUUGAUGCAGAUAGAUAACAGUUGACACAUGAUGGAUAGAUAUAGAUGACAGUUGAGAGAUGACAAAGUUGACAGAUGAUUGACAGACAAUGGUUGACAGAUGAUAUAAUUGAGAGAUGAUUGAUACAGGUAGAUUGUUAAGAGAGGAUUGAUAGAUGAUAGUUGACACAUGAUUGAUAGACAGAUAGAUGAUAACUGACAGAUGAUAGAGUUGACAGAUGAUUGACAGAUAGACAAUGGUUGACAGAUUAUAUAAUUGAGAGAUGAUUGAUACAGGUA
Anolis carolinensis (green anole) is the source of this 396-nucleotide long non-coding RNA. RefSeq lists it as uncharacterized. The transcript is spliced from 3 exons. The record is from RefSeq and is a predicted model, not a curated record. Lineage: Eukaryota; Metazoa; Chordata; Lepidosauria; Squamata; Anolidae.